Molecule: long non-coding RNA, 152 nt
Organism: Coregonus clupeaformis (lake whitefish)
Lineage: Eukaryota; Metazoa; Chordata; Actinopteri; Salmoniformes; Salmonidae
Exons: 3
Source: RefSeq, a predicted model, not a curated record
UUCUCUAUAGGCAGCUCGUCACUCCCCCAGGUAAUAUUCUCUCUAGGCAGCUUACCGUCAGUGAAUGUCCAGGUAAUAUUCUCUAUAGGCAGCUCGUCACUCCCCCAGGUAAUCUCAUCCUCUUCUGGAAGCUCUGAUGUCAUCUGCAUGUA